This 466-nucleotide ribosomal RNA is filed under the name uncultured bacterium. RNAcentral's name for it is "bacterial SSU rRNA". It matches the Rfam family "Bacterial small subunit ribosomal RNA", at positions 1 to 451 of the family's 1533-position model. The record is from RNAcentral.
CCCUUAGAGUUUGAUCCUGGCUCAGGAUGAACGCUGGCGGCGUGCUUAACACAUGCAAGUCGAGCGAAGCAAUUUAAGUGAAGUUUUCGGAUGGAUCUUAGAUUGACUGAGCGGCGGACGGGUGAGUAACGCGUGGAUAACCUGCCUCACACAGGGGGAUAACAGUUAGAAAUGACUGCUAAUACCGCAUAAGCGCACGGUACCGCAUGGUACAGUGUGAAAAACUCCGGUGGUGUGAGAUGGAUCCGCGUCUGAUUAGGUAGUUGGUGAGGUAACGGCCCACCAAGCCGACGAUCAGUAGCCGACCUGAGAGGGCGACCGGCCACAUUGGGACUGAGACACGGCCCAAACUCCUACGGGAGGCAGCAGUGGGGAAUAUUGCACAAUGGGCGAAAGCCUGAUGCAGCAACGCCGCGUGAGUGAAGAAGUAUCUCGGUAUGUAAAGCUCUAUCAGCAGGGAAGAAAA